UACUUAUCAUAGUAUCUAUGAAA
Molecule: microRNA, 23 nt
Filed under: Bombyx mori (domestic silkworm)
Lineage: Eukaryota; Metazoa; Arthropoda; Insecta; Lepidoptera; Bombycidae
Description: bmo-miR-3222
Source: miRBase by way of RNAcentral